GUUGUAUAGUCAAGUAAUUAAGUGCAUGUGGUGGAUGCCUUGGCAGUCAGAGGCGAUGAAAGACGUGAUAGCCUGCGAAAAGCUCCGGGGAGGCGGCAAAUAUCCUUUGAUCCGGAGAUGUCUGAAUGGGGGAACCCACCUACUUUAAGGUAGGUAUUGCAACAUGAAUACAUAGUGUUGCAAGGCGAACGAGGGGAAGUGAAACAUCUCAGUACCCUUAGGAAAAGAAAUCAAUUGAGAUUCCCUCAGUAGCGGCGAGCGAACGGGGAUCAGCCCAUUAAGUUAUGUGUGUUUUAGUGGAACGCUCUGGGAAGUGCGAACGUAGAGGGUGAUAUUCCCGUACACGAAAGGGCACACAUAAUGAUGACGAGUAGGGCGAGGCACGUGAAACCUUGUCUGAAUAUGGGGGGACCAUCCUCCAAGGCUAAAUACUCCUGACUGACCGAUAGUGAACCAGUACCGUGAGGGAAAGGCGAAAAGAACCCCUGUGAGGGGAGUGAAAUAGAUCCUGAAACCGCAUGCAUACAAGCAGUGGGAGCACCUUCGUGGUGUGACUGCGUACCUUUUGUAUAAUGGGUCAGCGACUUAUAUUCAGUAGCAAGGUUAACCGUAUAGGGGAGCCGUAGAGAAAUCGAGUCUUAAUAGGGCGUUUAGUUGCUGGGUAUAGACCCGAAACCAGGCGAUCUAUCCAUGAGCAGGUUGAAGGUUGGGUAACACUAACUGGAGGACCGAACCCACUGUCGUUGAAAAGCCAGGGGAUGACUUGUGGAUAGGGGUGAAAGGCUAAUCAAGCCUGGUGAUAGCUGGUUCUCCCCGAAAGCUAUUUAGGUAGCGCCUCGGACGAAUACCAUAGGGGGUAGAGCACUGUUUCGGCUAGGGGGUCAUCCCGACUUACCAAACCGAUGCAAACUCCGAAUACCUAUGAGUACUAUCCGGGAGACAGACUGCGGGUGCUAACGUCCGUAGUCAAGAGGAAAACAAUCCAGACCGCCAGCUAAGGCCCCAAAAUCAUAGUUAAGUGGGAAACGAUGUGGGAAGGCAUAGACAGCUAGGAGGUUGGCUUAGAAGCAGCCACCCUUUAAAGAAAGCGUAAUAGCUCACUAGUCGAGUCGGCCUGCGCGGAAGAUGUAACGGGGCUAAAACUAUGUGCCGAAGCUGCGGNNAUGCUGGAGGUAUCAGAAGUGCGAAUGCUGACGUGAGUAACGACAAAACGGGUGAAAAACCCGUUCGCCGAAAGACCAAGGGUUCCAGUCCAACGUUAAUCGGGGCUGGGUGAGUCGACCCCUAAGGCGAGGCCGAAAGGCGUAGUCGAUGGGAAAAUGGUUAAUAUUCCAUUACUUCUGUGUAAUGCGAUGAGAGGACGGAGAAGGCUAAAUCAGCCUGGCGUUGGUUGUCCAGGUGAAAGGAUGUAGGCAUGUAUCUUAGGCAAAUCCGGGGUACUCUAUGCUGAGAUCUGAUAGCAAGCUGUACUUGUACAGCGAAGUGGUUGAUGCCAUGCUUCCAGGAAAAGUCUCUAAGCUUCAGUUACACAGGAAUCGUACCCGAAACCGACACAGGUGGUCAGGUCGAGUAGACCAAGGCGCUUGAGAGAACUCUGCUGAAGGAACUAGGCAAAAUGGUACCGUAACUUCGGGAGAAGGUACGCUGUUGUUGGUGAUGGAACUCGCUUCCUGAGCUGACGACAGCCGCAGAAACCAGGCCGCUGCAACUGUUUAUUAAAAACAUAGCACUCUGCAAACACGAAAGUGGACGUAUAGGGUGUGAUGCCUGCCCGGUGCUGGAAGGUUAAUUGAUGGGGUUAGCGUAAGCGAAGCUCUUGAUCGAAGCCCCAGUAAACGGCGGCCGUAACUAUAACGGUCCUAAGGUAGCGAAAUUCCUUGUCGGGUAAGUUCCGACCUGCACGAAUGGCAUAAUGAUGGCGGCGCUGUCUCCAGCAGAGGCUCAGUGAAAUCGAAAUCGCUGUGAAGAUGCAGUGUACCCGCGGCUAGACGGAAAGACCCCGUGAACCUUUACUGCAGCUUGACACUGAACUUUGACCUUACUUGUGUAGGAUAGGUGGGAGGCUUUGAAGCUGGAACGCUAGUUCCAGUGGAGCCGUCCUUGAAAUACCACCCUGGUAAUGUUGAGGUUCUAACUCUGUCCCGUGAUCCGGGACGAGGACCGUGUCUGGUGGGUAGUUUGACUGGGGCGGUCUCCUCCUAAAGAGUAACGGAGGAGUACGAAGGUGCGCUCAGCGUGGUCGGAAAUCACGCGUAGAGUAUAAAGGCAAAAGCGCGCUUAACUGCGAGACCCACAAGUCGAGCAGGUACGAAAGUAGGUCUUAGUGAUCCGGUGGUUCUGUAUGGAAGGGCCAUCGCUCAACGGAUAAAAGGUACUCUGGGGAUAACAGGCUGAUACCGCCCAAGAGUUCAUAUCGACGGCGGUGUUUGGCACCUCGAUGUCGGCUCAUCUCAUCCUGGGGCUGAAGCAGGUCCCAAGGGUAUGGCUGUUCGCCAUUUAAAGAGGUACGCGAGCUGGGUUUAGAACGUCGUGAGACAGUUCGGUCCCUAUCUACCGUGGGCGCUGGAAAUUUGAGAGGAUCUGCUCCUAGUACGAGAGGACCAGAGUGGACGAACCUCUGGUGUACCGGUUGUGACGCCAGUCGCAUCGCCGGGUAGCUAUGUUCGGAAGGGAUAACCGCUGAAAGCAUCUAAGCGGGAAGCCUACCUCAAGAUAAGAUUUCCCUAGGACUUUAUGUCCUCUAAAGAGCCGUUCGAGACUAGGACGUUGAUAGGUUGGAUGUGGAAGCAUAGUGAUAUGUGAAGCUGACCAAUACUAAUUGCUCGUGAGGCUUGACUAUACAACACCCAAGCAGUUG
Molecule: ribosomal RNA, 2857 nt
Filed under: Acinetobacter baumannii
Lineage: Bacteria; Pseudomonadati; Pseudomonadota; Gammaproteobacteria; Moraxellales; Moraxellaceae
Description: bacterial LSU rRNA
Rfam family: Bacterial large subunit ribosomal RNA
Source: RNAcentral